Molecule: ribosomal RNA, 647 nt
Filed under: uncultured Actinomycetes bacterium
Lineage: Bacteria; Bacillati; Actinomycetota; Actinomycetes
Description: bacterial SSU rRNA
Rfam family: Bacterial small subunit ribosomal RNA
Source: RNAcentral
CGCGGCCUAUCAGCUUGUUGGUGGGGUAAUGGCCUACCAAGGCGACGACGGGUAGCCGGCCUGAGAGCGUGGCCAACCACACUGGGACUGAGACACGGCCCAGACUCCUACGGGAGGCAGCAGUGGGGAAUAUUGGACAAUGGGCGAAAGCCUGAUCCAGCAACGCCGCGUGAGGGAUGACGGCCUUCGGGUUGUAAACCUCUUUCAGCAGGGGAGAAGGCCUUCGGGUUGACGGUACCUGCAGAAGAAGCGCCGGCUAACUACGUGCCAGCAGCCGCGGUAAUACGUAGGGCGCAAGCGUUGUCCGGAAUUAUUGGGCGUAAAGAGCUCGUAGGCGGUUUGUCGCGUCUGCUGUGAAAACGCGAGGCUCAACCUCGCGCCUGCAGUGGGUACGGGCAGACUAGAGUGCGGUAGGGGAGACUGGAAUUCCUGGUGUAGCGGUGGAAUGCGCAGAUAUCAGGAGGAACACCGGUGGCGAAGGCGGGUCUCUGGGCCGUUACUGACGCUGAGGAGCGAAAGCAUGGGGAGCGAACAGGAUUAGAUACCCUGGUAGUCCAUGCCGUAAACGUUGGGCACUAGGUGUGGGACCCAUUCCACGGGUUCCGUGCCGCAGCAAACGCAUUAAGUGCCCCGCCUGGGGAGUACGG